RNAcentral lists this ribosomal RNA (484 nucleotides) under uncultured bacterium. RNAcentral describes it as "partial 16S ribosomal RNA". It matches the Rfam family "Bacterial small subunit ribosomal RNA", at positions 30 to 507 of the family's 1533-position model. The record is from RNAcentral.
AUUGAACGCUGGCGGCAGGCCUAACACAUGCAAGUCGAGCGGAUGAAGGGAGCUUGCUCCUGGAUUCAGCGGCGGACGGGUGAGUAAUGCCUAGGAAUCUGCCUGGUAGUGGGGGAUAACGUCCGGAAACGGGCGCUAAUACCGCAUACGUCCUGAGGGAGAAAGUGGGGGAUCUUCGGACCUCACGCUAUCAGAUGAGCCUAGGUCGGAUUAGCUAGUUGGUGAGGUAAAGGCCUACCAAGGCGACGAUCCGUAACUGGCCUGAGAGGAUGAUCAGUCACACUGGAACUGAGACACGGUCCAGACUCCUACGGGAGGCAGCAGUGGGGAAUAUUGGGCAAUGGGCGAAAGCCUGAUCCAGCCAUGCCGCGUGUGUGAAGAAGGUCUUCGGAUUGUAAAGCACUUUAAGUUGGGAGGAAGGGCAGUAAGUUUAUACCUUGCUGUUUUGACGUUACCAACAGAAUAAGCACCGGCUAACUUCGUG